CCUACGGGCGGCAGCAGUGAGGAAUAUUGGUCAAUGGACGAGAGUCUGAACCAGCCAAGUAGCGUGAAGGAUGACUGCCCUAUGGGUUGUAAACUUCUUUUAUAUGGGAAUAAAACGUUCCACGUGUGGGAUUUUGUAUGUACCCUAUGAAUAAGGAUCGGCUAACUCCGUGCCAGCAGCCGCGGUAAUACGGAGGAUCCGAGCGUUAUCCGGAUUUAUUGGGUUUAAAGGGAGCGUAGGUGGAUUGUUAAGUCAGUUGUGAAAGUUUGCGGCUCAACCGUAAAAUUGCAGUUGAAACUGGCAGUCUUGAGUACAGUAGAGGUAGGCGGAAUUCGUGGUGUAGCGGUGAAAUGCUUAGAUAUCACGAAGAACUCCGAUUGCGAAGGCAGUUCACUGGACUGCAACUGACACUGAGGCUCGAAAGUGUGGGUAUCAAACAGGAUUAGAUACCCCUGUAGUC
RNAcentral lists this ribosomal RNA (460 nucleotides) under uncultured bacterium. RNAcentral's name for it is "partial 16S ribosomal RNA". It matches the Rfam family "Bacterial small subunit ribosomal RNA", at positions 338 to 795 of the family's 1533-position model. The record is from RNAcentral.